GGUUAUGGCUCAGUGGUAGAGUACUUGCCUAGCAUGCGUAAGGCACUGGGUUCAAUCCCCAGCACCA
RNAcentral lists this transfer RNA (67 nucleotides) under Marmota monax (woodchuck). Its description in RNAcentral is "tRNA.Ala". The record is from RNAcentral. Lineage: Eukaryota; Metazoa; Chordata; Mammalia; Rodentia; Sciuridae.